UGCUUGAGGGAGUCAUGGGAAGCUGCUUUUAUGAUGCAGUACCUUCAAAAGCCAUGGAGUUAUUCGGUUUGAGGGUCAUUUUGGAGUGUAAGAGCAUCCGUAUGGCAUCUCUCACUGAUCUGAAACUCUUCAAUUUGGGUAGAUUGGCUGGCCAACAAAUCCUAAGGACCCUCCUGUCUCUGCCUCCCCAACACUGAUAUUACAGCAGUUAAGACACUGUGGUUUCAGAGUUCAUCUGUCUAACCCGAAGCU
Molecule: long non-coding RNA, 252 nt
Organism: Mesocricetus auratus (golden hamster)
Lineage: Eukaryota; Metazoa; Chordata; Mammalia; Rodentia; Cricetidae
Exons: 3
Source: RefSeq, a predicted model, not a curated record